CUCGAUCCAACUACGUCCACCCAUUUUCCUCUGGAAAGUGCUUGGAGAAAGCCCCAGUCCCAAGCCCAGCCCAGCUGUCCUCAGCAGAGGGACACAGCUCCACCUCCAUCCCAGCCCUCUGCCUCUGCAAGGCUUCCCCUGGCAUGAAGUGACAGGAAUAGGACAGGACGUGCUUGAACUUGAGAAAAUUCCUCGUGUGUCUAAAGACUAGUAGUGUGGGCGCUCAUUGAGAGGCUUGUAACCAAUGCAGGCC
Molecule: long non-coding RNA, 253 nt
Filed under: Homo sapiens (human)
Lineage: Eukaryota; Metazoa; Chordata; Mammalia; Primates; Hominidae
Description: HSALNT0037224
Source: RNAcentral